Molecule: ribosomal RNA, 472 nt
Filed under: uncultured bacterium
Lineage: Bacteria
Description: partial 16S ribosomal RNA
Rfam family: Bacterial small subunit ribosomal RNA
Source: RNAcentral
GACGAACGCUGGCGGCGUGCUUAACACAUGCAAGUCGAACGCUGAAGCUUGGUGCUUGCACUGGGUGGAUGAGUGGCGAACGGGUGAGUAAUACGUGAGUAACCUGCCCUUGACUCUGGGAUAAGCCUGGGAAACUGGGUCUAAUACUGGAUACGACAUGUCACCGCAUGGUGGUGUGUGGAAAGGGUUUUACUGGUUUUGGAUGGGCUCACGGCCUAUCAGCUUGUUGGUGGGGUAAUGGCUCACCAAGGCGACGACGGGUAGCCGGCCUGAGAGGGUGACCGGCCACACUGGGACUGAGACAACGCCCAGAAUCCUACGGGAGGGAGCAGGGGGGGAUAUUGCACCAUGGGCGGAAGGCUUAUGCAGCGACGCCGCGUGGGGGAUUAACGCCUUCGGGUUGUAAACCUCUUUCAGCACGGAAGAAGCGAAAGUGACGGUACGUGCAGAAGAAGCGCCGGCUAACUACGUG